This 614-nucleotide ribosomal RNA is filed under the name Anabaena sp. 128. RNAcentral's name for it is "bacterial SSU rRNA". It matches the Rfam family "Bacterial small subunit ribosomal RNA", at positions 38 to 698 of the family's 1533-position model. Lineage: Bacteria; Bacillati; Cyanobacteriota; Cyanophyceae; Nostocales; Nostocaceae. The record is from RNAcentral.
CGUGGGCAGCUUACACAUGCAGUCGAACGGUCUCUUCGGAGAUAGUGGCGGACGGGUGAGUAACGCGUGAGAAUCUAGCUUCAGGUCGGGGACAACCACUGGAAACGGUGGCUAAUACCGGAUGUGCCGAAAGGUGAAAGAUUUAUUGCCUGAAGAUGAGCUCGCGUCUGAUUAGCUAGUUGGUGUGGUAAGAGCGCACCAAGGCGACGAUCAGUAGCUGGUCUGAGAGGAUGAUCAGCCACACUGGGACUGAGACACGGCCCAGACUCCUACGGGAGGCAGCAGUGGGGAAUUUUCCGCAAUGGGCGAAAGCCUGACGGAGCAAUACCGCGUGAGGGAGGAAGGCUCUUGGGUUGUAAACCUCUUUUCUCAGGGAAUAAAAAAAUGAAGGUACCUGAGGAAUAAGCAUCGGCUAACUCCGUGCCAGCAGCCGCGGUAAUACGGAGGAUGCAAGCGUUAUCCGGAAUGAUUGGGCGUAAAGCGUCCGCAGGUGGCACUGUAAGUCUGCUGUUAAAGAGCAAGGCUCAACCUUGUAAAGGCAGUGGAAACUACAGAGCUAGAGUACGUUCGGGGCAGAGGGAAUUCCUGGUGUAGCGGUGAAAUGCGUAGAAAUA